AUGAAGCAUUGCAGCAGCUUGUGCCUGCUGCUUCUCGUGGCACUCUGCAGCUGCUGUAAUAACUUGGCCCGCGCAAAGCCACAGAUCCUCUUCCAGGGCUUCAACUGGGAGUCGUGGAAGAAGCAGGGGGGCUGGUACAACCACCUCAAGGCCCUGGUUGGCGACAUCGCCGACGCCGGCGUCACCCACGUCUGGCUCGACUGGGGCCCCGCCGAGGUCUGCGCCGACGACGCCACGUACUCGGACGGCACGGGGCACCGCGACACCGGCGACGGCUUCGACGCGGCGCCCGACGUCGACCACCUCAGCCCGCGGGUGCAGAGGGAGCUCUCCGACUGGCUCCGCUGGCUCAGGACCGACGUCAGAUUCGACGGCUGGCGCCUCGACUUCGUCAAGGGCUACUCUCCCGCCGUCGCCAGGAACUACAUCGACGACGUCAAGCCGAGCUUCGUGGUGGCGGAGGUAUGGAACCCGCUGGCCUACGACGGCGACGGCAGGCCGUCGCACAACCAGGACCUGUGCCGGCAGGGGCUGGUGGACUGGGUGGAGGCGGCGUCGCCGUCGGUCAUGGCGUUCGACUUCGCCACCAAGGGGGUGCUGCAGGCGGGCGUGCAGGGCGAGCUGUGGCGGCUGCGCGACCGGUCCGGGAAGGCGGCCGGCAUGAUCGGCUGGCUGCCGGAGAGGGCCGUCACGUUCGUCGACAACCACGACACCGGGUCCACGCAGAAGCUGUGGCCGUUCCCGGCGGACAAGGUGAUGCAGGGCUACGCCUACAUCCUCACCCACCCCGGGCCCCCCUGCAUCUUCUACGACCACAUGUUCGAGUGGAACCUGAAGGUGGAGCUGACCAAGCUGACGGCGAUCAGGGCGCGGAACGGCGUCCACGCCGGGAGCAAGCUGCGGAUCCUCGUCGCCGACGCCGACCUGUACGUGGCCGUCGUCGACGAGAGGGUGAUCGUCAAGAUCGGGACGAGGUACGACGUGGGUGGCGUGGUGCCGUCGGAUUUCCACAUCGCGGCGCACGGCAAGGACUACUGCGUCUGGGAGAAAGGCAGCCUCCGUGUCCCGGCCGGGAGGCACCUCUGA
RNAcentral lists this ribosomal RNA (1086 nucleotides) under Triticum aestivum (bread wheat). RNAcentral's name for it is "partial small subunit ribosomal RNA". Lineage: Eukaryota; Viridiplantae; Streptophyta; Magnoliopsida; Poales; Poaceae. The record is from RNAcentral.